GGUUUCCUACGGGACGCAGCAGUGGGGGAUAUUGCACAAUGGGGGGAACCCUGAUGCAGCGACGCCGCGUGGGUGAAGAAGCGCCUCGGCGCGUAAAGCCCUGUCAGCAGGGAAGAAAAUGACGGUACCUGAAGAAGAAGCACCGGCUAACUCCGUGCCAGCAGCCGCGGUAAUACGGAGGGUGCAAGCGUUACUCGGAAUCACUGGGCGUAAAGAGUGCGUAGGCGGGGUAAUAAGUCAGAUGUGAAAUCCUAUGGCUUAACCAUAGAACUGCAUUUGAAACUGUUAUUCUAGAGUAUGGGAGG
RNAcentral lists this ribosomal RNA (305 nucleotides) under uncultured bacterium. Its description in RNAcentral is "bacterial SSU rRNA". It matches the Rfam family "Bacterial small subunit ribosomal RNA", at positions 333 to 655 of the family's 1533-position model. The record is from RNAcentral.